This 21-nucleotide non-coding RNA is filed under the name Caenorhabditis elegans. The record is from RNAcentral. Lineage: Eukaryota; Metazoa; Nematoda; Chromadorea; Rhabditida; Rhabditidae.
UAAAAGCACUGAUAACAUUGA